This 461-nucleotide ribosomal RNA is filed under the name Selwynia sibogae. Its description in RNAcentral is "partial 12S ribosomal RNA". The record is from RNAcentral. Lineage: Eukaryota; Metazoa; Arthropoda; Malacostraca; Decapoda; Aphanodactylidae.
UAAAUUGUAUUGUUGUAUAAAAUUUAGAUUGAAGCUAAAAAAAAAUUUUUAUAAACUAGGAUUAGAUACCCUAUUAUUAAAUUUUAAAAGUUUAAAAACUUAAUUAGUAUUAGAUAUAUACUUAAAAUUUAAAAGAUUUGGCGGUAAUUUAAUCUUUUUAGAGGAACCUGUUUUAUAAUCGAUAAGCCACGAAAAAUCUUAUUUACUUAAGUUAAAGUUUUGUAUACCGUCAUUAUCAGAUAAUUUUUACAGAAAAAAUUAUUAAAAUUAAAAAUUUAGAAAAAUUAGACCAUGGUGCAGAUUAUAGGUAAGUAAAAAUGGGUUACAAUAAAUCAUUUUAAACGGAUUAAUAAAGGAAUUUUUAUUAUAAAGGAGGAUUUAAUUGUAUUAAGGGUUUAAUAAGCCUAAGAGAUAUUAGUUCUAAAUUAUGUACAUAUCGCCCGUCGCUUUCGUUUAUAAGU